CAAGAGCAAGGUGAGAAGUUCUUGGCGGGAAGGAUGCCGGGGGUCUAUUUGGAAACAGCCUCUCUACCCAAGUGUAGGGGUAAGAUCUGCGUACACACUACCCUCCCCAGACCCCACUAAAUGAGAUUAUACUGAGUUGUUGUUGUUGCUUCUUCAUCUAGCUACAGUGCAUCAUCUGUCACAUAUAACCAUUUGCAACAAAAGCUUAUGCGCAUGGAAUCCCAACUAGAAGGCACCUUUAAUGCGCUGAAGGCUCGUGAUGUCAAAGGAAGGUUCGGUUCUUGAAGAAUUUGCUG
This 296-nucleotide long non-coding RNA is filed under the name Nicotiana benthamiana. RNAcentral describes it as "long non-coding RNA (NBEN_LNC012067)". The record is from RNAcentral. Lineage: Eukaryota; Viridiplantae; Streptophyta; Magnoliopsida; Solanales; Solanaceae.